UUCUAUAAAGGGUUAGACGAGGAGAAGAUGGGGCUUGAAAAAUUGGGGAAAUUGCUGGACCAAAAUCGAUACGGAUUGAAGCGCAAUGCUGGGUCGGAUAGUCUACUGACAGCUUCUUCACAUUUAGAAUGAUACAAAGCUUUGAUUUGGAUUCCAAGAUAUCAAGAUUUAUCAUCACAUUUGGUUCAAAUCCCUUAUGGCGUCGCCCCGCGUUUGCUCCAAUUUCUUACGCCAUCCCAUUUGCUCCAAUUUCUUCUUACAUUACGUAUCACUCAUUUAUUAGUGUAAUUUGUAAGAAUCUUUUUUUUUUUUUAGUGUAAUUCAUUCUGUUUAAUGGAAUAGAUUAAAAAACAAGCAGCCUCUGCACAAUUAGCAGAUUUUGUUUAUAGUUGAGAUUUGAUUUGAUAACGACCCAUUAAUAUCUAAUUAACAAAAAUUCUGUUGGCUUAUCAUAUGCUUUAAUUUUGGGGUUACUAACUUCCUAGACUACAAUGCUUUGACUUUAUUACAUUAUUUAAGUAUUGAAUCACUAAACAUUAGGGAUCAUUGUAGUUGUUAAUGACAGUUUUGAUGGAAGGAUGUGUGACCUUUUUGUUAUUUAAGUGAAGUCAAAAGAAGAGAAUAUAUGUCAAUGCCAUAAUCCCAAGUAAUUAAUGAUAAUUACUUAAUGCUCUAUUAAUUUCCCUUCAAUCACAAAUAUGAUACAUAAACAUCACAAAACAACAAACCAUAUAUGUAAUUCAACUGCAAACCUGAAACAGAGUAUAGCAUAUAUAAUCUGAUUUACCACUUAGUCAAUCAUAUAAUGUUAGUUUUUCAUGUAUAUAUUAUAUAAGGAGCAUAAAGUUGAUGAGAACUCAAACUCUCUUAGGUUGGGUCUACGUUAAAGUUGUUGGUGCUUCUCAUUCUUGUCUUCUUAAUUUAAUGUUGAGACGAGAUUCUUUAUAAGAUCUAAUUUUUUCAGCUGCUCGGCGUAAUGGCCUUCCAAUUGAAGUUCUUUGCAAAGCUGAAACUUCUUCAGAUCUGGGGGAGGAUGGUGAGUUCUUUUCUUUUUCACCAGCGAUAAGUUUUAUGUCUUCAAUUUCAAACAACUUCUCUUCAAGGUCCCUCACUUGAUGUCUAAAUCUACUAGAGUGCCUUCUUACACAAUGCCUGAAAAUACAUAAAUAUGUAAACCAAAUAGUUGAAACCCUUCCUAGUUUGCUGCUUGAUAAUCAUUUGGUUUUUCAAAAUUCAACUUGUUUUCUCAUCCUUUUCUUUGCGUAUGGUCUUCAUUUUUCUUACAAGAACAUUUGAAUAGUCGAAUUCUUGAAACCAAAACAAGUUCUUAAAGACCAUCCUUUUAGAAAAAAUAAUGGUAUUUAUUUUGUGCAGAGGCAGGAGAGUGCACCCUUAAAUCAAAGUAUUGUGCGUUUGAGCUAAGUUAAAAGCUUGUCGUGUAUUUUAAAAAACAUUUAUAGAACCAAAAGUUAAGGUCCUGUUUAGUGACCAUUUGAGUUUUGAAAAGUAAGCAUAUUUCCUAAUGUUUUGAUCCUUUUUAGUAAAAGAGUUGAGUUCUUAGCCAAAUUCAAAAAACAAACAAGUCUUUAAUACUACUUUUUUUAGUUUUUUAAUUUUUUGAGAAGAUUGAGACAAAUUAUACUAAGCAAGAAGUUAGAGGUGGAAGAUGUAUUUGUAAAACUAAAAACUAAAAACCAAAUGGUUAUCAAACAUGUAAAAAUUGGAAACAAUCAUGCACAAAUAUGGUUAUGUAUAUAAAACGUGUGCAGGACUGACUAACCUCUUGUUCACAACUUUCUGUUUAUCAACCACUGUUGAGUAUGAAGUUGAAGGGCUCAUAGCUGCAUUGGUCAAAGUGCCAUUAGUUUUCAACCAAAACAAUAAGUAAGAUAAGUAGAAGAAUAAACAGAGAAAGGGAAUGAUAGUAUACAUAGUGUCAAUAUCUCAUCAGUUUCAAUAAAUGUGUAAAAUCAGAGUAAUAUGACGGUUCUGAGGGCAAGCCAAAAAGGAGUUAAGAAGUGUUUUAGUGUGUUGUAUGAGAAAGGAUUCAUGGAGAAGCAUUUUAUCAAAAGCAAUUUCAGAAAAGUAAACUUAAGAUCAAAUAAUUUCUUGUGGAAAGUUUUUUACUGAGACCCCAUUGGGUAAUAUUGCAAUCAAAGUACUAUAAUUCCAAAUUCAAACACUAAUCCCCUAAACCUUAAAUUGUUGGAAUCAAAGUUGCUAAUUCUUGGUCCCAAAAUAACAAACCCUUUACACAGUUUCUAUAUAUCGUUUCAUGAAAACUUACAUUUACUUCUAGUUCUUCCAGGAGGCUUUAUAUUUCCAUUGCCAGAUUUGGUGUCAGUAUUAACAAUUGCAAGUGAAGGUUGCCCUGUUGCCUUCUCUCCUUCCUGGAGGCAGGAAAAUAGGUGAAGUUAUCUAAAAUAUUUGUGAGCAAUGUGUGAGGACUAAGC
RNAcentral lists this long non-coding RNA (2453 nucleotides) under Cucumis sativus (cucumber). Its description in RNAcentral is "long non-coding RNA (CSAT_LNC000121)". Lineage: Eukaryota; Viridiplantae; Streptophyta; Magnoliopsida; Cucurbitales; Cucurbitaceae. The record is from RNAcentral.